This 270-nucleotide ribosomal RNA is filed under the name uncultured archaeon. Its description in RNAcentral is "partial 16S ribosomal RNA". It matches the Rfam family "Archaeal small subunit ribosomal RNA", at positions 477 to 747 of the family's 1478-position model. The record is from RNAcentral.
CAGCACCUCAAGUGGUCAGGAUGAUUAUUGGGCCUAAAGCAUCCGUAGCCUGCUUUGUUAGUUUUCGGUUAAAUCCAUACGCUCAACGUAUGGGCUGCCGGGAAUACUGCAAAGCUAGGGAGUGGGAGAGGUAGACGGUACUCGGUAGGAAGGGGUAAAAUCCUUUGAUCUAUUGAUGACCACCUGUAGCGAAGGCGGUCUACCAGAACACGUCCGACGGUGAGGGAUGAAAGCUGGGGGAGCAAACCGGAUUAGAGACCCGCGUAGUCC